Gorilla gorilla gorilla (western lowland gorilla) is the source of this 6334-nucleotide long non-coding RNA. RefSeq lists it as uncharacterized. Lineage: Eukaryota; Metazoa; Chordata; Mammalia; Primates; Hominidae. The transcript is spliced from 20 exons. The record is from RefSeq and is a predicted model, not a curated record.
GGAAUCAUCGUAUUGCUGAUCUACGUAAACAAAUUGAAGAAUUGUCUGAAAGACAAUAUGACAUGAACUUAUGAAUUCAACAGGUGAAGAUUUACAACUUGAUAAAUCAGCUUUGUGAGCUCGAGCUGUAAAAGCCAAAGGUCUGGUCAUGAUCCCAUAACCUUUUUUCCAGUCUCAUGUUGAAGAUUUUUAUGAAGAAGGCCUUCCCAAAGGAAUUUUUUUUUUUUUUUGAGAUGGAGUUUUCACUCUUAUCGCCCAGGCUGGGGUGCAAUGGUGCAACCUUGCUGGUCACUGCAACCUCUGCCUCCUGGGUUCAAGAAAUUCUCCUGCCUUAGCCUCCCAAGUCGCUGGGAUUACAGGUGCCUACCACCACACCAGGCUAAUUUUUGUAUUUUUAGUGGAGAUGGGGUUUCACCAUGUUGGCCGGGCCAGUCUCGAACUCCUGACGUCAAGUGAUCUUCCCGCCUCGACUCCUGACAUCAAGUGAUCUUCCCGCCUUGGCCUCCCAGAGUGCUGAGAUUACAGACGUGAACCCAUGCCUGGCCAGGAAUUUUGCUUUUUAGGAAGGCUUUCUGCUAAUGGAAUUCCUGGCCUUGAGAGGAUGUUACUUUCGAAGGAAAGGAUUUUUUUGUUAUUAAAAGAGCCACCUAAGCUGAAGAUUCCCUUGAGAACAAGUACUGUCCUGCAGUUUCAUGGCCUUUCUUCCAUUUGUGGUUCUUGCGAAGUGGAAUUUAAAUGACAUCUUAUCAAGAUGGAUAAACCCUAGUUUCCCAGUGCUGGAAUAUAGAAAAUGGAUGGACAAGUAAAUCCCACUCAGCACCCAUAGUCCAGGCAUGGGGACCUCAACACACCUGAGCCCCAGACAUCACCUUUCAUUCUGGACCUACUAUGAAAGACUUCUGAAUCCAGGAAGAGAAACGGACUGGGCAACAUGUUAUUCAGAUGGGGUCUUCUUAUGUUGCCCAGGCUGGUCUCAAAUUCCUAGGCUCAAGUGAUUCCGCCCACCUCUGCCUCCCAAAGUGCUGGGAUUACGGGCAUGAGCCAGCGCAUCUGGCCACCUUAUUUUCUAUUACUGGCUCAAUGUAAUGGCUCCAUCUCAGGAACAGCCAAUGAAAGAGAUGCACAGGACAAGAAACAGGACCUUGCCCUGUCACUCAGGAUGGAGUUCAGUGGUCCUAUCAUGGCUCAUUAUAGCCUCAAACUCCCAGGCUCAAGCAAUCCUACCAUGUCAGCCUUCCCAGUAGCUGGGACUACAGGUCUCACACUGUCACCCAGGCUAGAGUACAGUGUCACAACCUCUGCUCACUGCAGCCUCCACCUGCCAGGCUCAAGCAAUUCUCCUGCCUCAGCCUCCCGAGUAGCUGGGAUUACAGGUAAGUGCCACCACACCCAGCUGAUUUUUGUGUUUUUUGUAGAGACGAGGUUUCGCCAUGUUUCCCAGACUGUUCUCAAACUCCUGAGCUCAAAGCAGUCCACCCACCUUGGCCUCCCAAAGUGCUGGGAUUACAGGUGUGAGCCGUCUUGCUCAUUCUAGUUUAAACUUUUGAGUGGUUUGUGUCUCCUGAUUGGACUCCUACAAAUACAGAAUUGAUGCUAGGAAGGGUACCAGGAGAUAGACGCACACAGAUGGGAUUUGGGAAUAGGUUUGGUUAUCCAAGGAGCAGUGCUGAGCUCCUUGCUAAUGGGAUAUGGGAUGCUGGUGAUUUCCAGGAAGUGACCUCACAAUGACUCAAGCUACCACAUACUGUUGAUUGUGAAAUGCCAGUUGAAGCAUAUGUCCUGCGAGCUUAGGGGUGCUACAAGUUGACCACUGCAGCAGUAAAGAUGACUCUGAAGAAUGGCAUGGGAUGGGUCCUUUCGAAUGCACUUGAGCAGCGGUCUCCAACCACAGGACCACAGAGCUGGAGGUGAGCAGCAGCUGGAUCUACCAUGAAAGACUUCUGAAUCCAGGAAGAGAGACUGACUGGGCAACAUGUUAUUCAGGAGACGGGGUCUCACCCUGUCACCCAGGCUUGAGUACAGUAGUGCUAUCACAGCUCACUGCAGCCUUGAACUCCUGGGCUAAGGAUCCUCCUACCUGAGCCUCCUGAGUAGCUAGGACUGGUCUCCCUCUGUUGUCCAAGGCUGGAGGGUAGUAGUGCUAUCGCAGCUGACUGCAGCUUCAACCUUCCAGGCUGAAGCGAUCCUCCCAUCUCAACCUCCCACGUAGCUGAGACUACAGGUGCUUGCCACUAUGCCCAACUAAUAUUUGGAAUUUUCGUAUACGUGGAUUCCAGAGGGGUGACAGCGAAACGUGGGACCAUCCAGUUUCAGGAAAACAAGCUUAACACGCCCACUGAUUCUACAUUAUGCUCCUACCUCCCGGCAGCCUCUCCAGGCCCAGAACUUUCUCCAGUCAGCCUCUACAGACCAAGCUCAUGACUCACAAUGGCCUAUUUAGGCCCAUACCCUACCUCACGGCAGUCUCCGCAGAUGAGCCUACUGCCUCACAACAGCCUCCACAGGCACAGCUCCAUCAUUACAAUGGCCUCUUUAGACCCAGCUCCUGCUUCCCAGCCUUCUCUCCAGGCCCUGAACGUUCUCCGGUCUCCCUCUGUUGUCCAAGGCUGGAGGGUAGUAGUGCUAUCGCAGCUGACUGCAGCCUCAACCUUCCAGGCUGAAGCGAUCCUCCCAUCUCAACCUCCCACAUGGCUGAGACUACAGGUGCUUGCCACUAUGCCCAACUAAUAUUUGGAAUUUUCGUAUACGUGGAUUCCAGAGGGGUGACAGCGAAACGUGGGACCAUCCAGUUUCAGGAAAACAAGCUUAACACGCCCACUGAUUCUACAUUAUGCUCCUACCUCCCGGCAGCCUCUCCAGGCCCAGAACUUUCUCCAGUCAGCCUCUACAGACCAAGCUCAUGACUCACAAUGGCCUAUUUAGGCCCAUACCUUACCUCACGGCAGUCUCCGCAGAUGAGCCUACUGCCUCACAACAGCCUCCACAGGCACAGCUCCAUCAUUACAAUGGCCUCUUUAGACCCAGCUCCUGCUUCCCAGCCUUCUCUCCAGGCCCUGAACGUUCUCCGGUCUCCCUCUGUUGUCCAAGGCUGGAGGGUAGUAGUGCUAUCGCAGCUGACUGCAGCCUCAACCUUCCAGGCUGAAGCGAUCCUCCCAUCUCAACCUCCCACAUGGCUGAGACUACAGGUGCUUGCCACUAUGCCCAACUAAUAUUUGGAAUUUUCGUAUACGUGGAUUCCAGAGGGGUGACAGCGAAACGUGGGACCAUCCAGUUUCAGGAAAACAAGCUUAACACGCCCACUGAUUCUACAUUAUGCUCCUACCUCCCGGCAGCCUCUCCAGGCCCAGAACUUUCUCCAGUCAGCCUCUACAGACCAAGCUCUACAGACGGUGGCCUCUCCAGUAUGAGCUCCUGCCCUCCAAUGGCACCUGCAGGCCCCAAAUGGUCUCCGGUCGGUGGGCUCCUCCACGCCAAGCUUGGGCCUCCCGGCGACCUCUGCAGGCCCAAGUUGUCCUGAAGUCGGCAUCUCCCGGCUCUGCCUCCCAGCAAGUAAGCAAGCUCUUUUGGCUCAACUCCUGCCCAGCUCCCAACCGCCUUUGUAGGCCCCGAACUUUCUCCAGCCAAGUUCUUCGGGCCUAAUUCCUGCCGCCCGGUGGCCUGUACGGGCCCAGCAAUGGUUGGAGAACGGCCUCUGCAGGUCCUGCUCUUGCCUCCCAGGGGCCUCUCCAGGCCCAGCUCUUGACCCCACGGCGGCCUCCCGGGACCAAGUCCCUGCCUGCCUCCCAGCAGCCCGUGUGCAGCCCAGCUCCUCCCUCACGGUGGCCUGUUGAUGCCCAUGCCUCUGGUACCCUGCCCAGAGGCAUGAGCCCCUGCCACACACUGGCUCCUCCCACGCUGAGAGAGGUCAGCGUGAGCCCUUGCCUCACACCGGCCCCUCCCACGCUGAGAGAGGUCAGCGUGAGCCCCUUGCCUCACACCGGCCCCUCCCACGCUGAGAGAGGUCAGCGUGAGCCCUUGCCUCACACCGGCCCCUCCCACGCUGAGAGAGGUCGGCCUUAGCCCCUUGCCUCACACCGGCCCCUCCCACGCUGACAGAGGUCGGCCUGAGCCCCUUGCCUCACACCGGCCCCUCCCACGCUGACAGAGGUCGGCCUGAGCCCCUUGCCUCACACCGGCCCCUUCCACGCUGACAGAGGUCGGCCUGAGCCCCUUGCCUCACACCGGCCCCUCCCUCGCUGACAGAGGUCGGCCUGAGCCCCUUGCCUCACACUGGCCCCUCCCUCGCUGACAGAGGUCAGCGUGAGCCCCUUGCCUCACACCGGUCCCUCCCAUGCUGACAGAGGUCAGGCUGAGCCCCUAGCCUCACACCGGCCCCUCCCACUCUGACAGAGGUCAGCCUGAGGCCCUAGCCUCACACCGGCCCCUCCCAGGCUGACAGAGGUCAGCCUGAGCCCCUAGCCUCACACCAGCCCCUCCCACGCUGACAGAGGUCAGCCUGAGCCCCUAGCCUCACACCGGCCCCUCCCUCGCUGACAGAGGUCAGCGGGAGCCCCUAGCCUCACACCGGCCCCUCCCUCGCUGACAGAGGUCAGCGGGAGCCCCUAGCCUCACACCGGCCCCUCCCACGCUGACAGAGGUCAGCCUGAGCCCCUAGCCUCACACCGGCCCCUCCCACUCUGACAGAGGUCAGCCUGAGGCCCUAGCCUCACACCGGCCCCUCCCAGGCUGACAGAGGUCCGCGGGAGCCCCUAGCCUCACACCGGCCCCUCCCAGGCUGACAGAGGUCAGCGGGAGCCCCUUGCCUCACACCGGCCCCUCUCACGCUGACAGAGGUCAGCAUGAGCCCCUUGCCUCACACCGGCCCCUCCCACGCUGAGAGAUGUCAGCGUGAGCCCUUGCCUCACACUGGCCCCUCCCACGCUGAGAGAGGUCAGCGUGAGCCCCUUGCCUCACACCGGCCCCUCCCACACUGACAGAGGUCCAUGGAAGCCCCUUGCCUCACACUGGCCCCUCCCACGCUGAGAGAGGUCAGCGUGAGCCCUUGCCUCACACUGGCCCCUCCCACGCUGAGAGAGGUCGGCGUGAGUCCCUUGCCUCACAUCGGCCCCUCCCACGUUGAGAGAGGUCGGCGUGAGCCCUUGCCUCACACCGGCCCCUCCCACGCUGAGAGAGGUCGGCGUGAGCCCCUUGCCUCACACCGGCCCCUCCCACGCUGAGAGAGGUCGGCGUGAGCCCUUGCCUCACACCGGCCCCUCCCACGCUGAGAGAGGUCAGCGUGACCCCCUGCCUCAACAGGCCACCGUGAGGGAGGAGCAGGGUUGCAUGCGGGCUGCUGGGAGGCAGGCAGGGACUUGUUCCUGGGAGGUCACUGUAGGGCGAGAGCUGGGCCUGGAGACACCCCUGGGAGGCAACAGCGGGGCCUACAGACUCUGUUCUCCAGCCGGAGCUGGGACUGUUCAGGUACUCGGAGGCGGGAUGUGGGUCUGAAGAGCUUGGUUGCAGAAACUUAGGGGUCUACAAACGCAGGCGGGAGCUGAGCCAAAAAAGCUUGUUUGCUGGGAGGUGGGAGAUGCAGCCAGAAGAAACAGCUGUGCCUGCAGAGGCCGCCAUGUGGGAGGCGGAGGCCGGGCCUCCUCAAAUCGGCCUCUCCAGACCCACUUGCAGCCUCCCGGCAUCCUCUCCGGGCCCAGCUCUUCCUCCCGGCUGCGUCUCCAGGCCUGACUCUGGCCUCCCAACAGCGUCUUUGGACUCAGCUCCUGCCCAGCUCCCAGCAGGCCCAAGUCGUCCUCAAGUCGGCCUGGAAUUGGGCCUGGAAGAGCAGCAAGUCGGCCUCCCCGGGCCCAUCUCCGUCCUCUCGGCGGCCUCUCCAGGUGCAAAACUUCCUCGAGUCAGCCUCUCCAGGCCCAGCUCCUCCUGCCUCCCAGUGGCCUCUUUCAGCCCAGACCAGCUCAUGGCUCUUGGCGGCCUUCCCAGGCCCCGCUUUUGACUUUUGGUGGCCUCUUCAGGCCCAGAACUUGACCUCCAGUGGGCCUUUGCAGGCCCAGCCUCCUGCCUCUCAAAGGCCUGCAUGAGCCUGGACUCACAGCGGACUCUCCAUGCCCAGCUAGCUCUUGCCUCAUUGCGGCCUCCCGAGUCCAAAGCUCCUGCCUCUCGGCCGCUUCGGCAGGCCCAGCUCCCGCCUGCCAGUGGCCUCUUUAGGCCCAGCUCAUUCCUCACAACGGCCUUCCCAGGCCCCGUUUUUCCCUUCCUGCAGCCUCUUGGCCUCUAAUUUGUUUAUCUUUUGUGUAUAAAUCCCAAAAUAUUGAAUUUUGGAAUAUUUCCACCAUUAUGUAAA